UUCUGUGUUUCGCGGUUUUGGGCGCGUGAAAAGAUCGAUUAACUCCCGAAAAAGUUAGUUCAGUUAUUAGUACUAUUUAUCAAUCUAAUCUAUUCCAUUCACACGGCUGGGCAGUGCUCCCGUGACUUCCAAAGUCUCACGGAGGAGCAGCGCCUGGUGAUUUCACCGCGACGGUGCCGCCGUCAACCGCGUCACGAGGAAUUCCUCCACUCCGUUCAGUGAUUCAGCUUUCAGCCUUCAGCCCUAGUUCCACAAGCAACAUGCCGGAGAUGUGUGCGGGAGGGAUCCAAGCGAGGUGCCUGGCUAGAGGCGCCACAUCCGCCGGGGAAGACGAGGGUUCGCUGGGGAAGACGAGGGUUCAGUCAACGCAUGAGAGAGCCACUACAAUGGAAGGAUGCGAGGGUACACAGGGUCGGCUUCGGCCCCGGCGUCGACGAGGAAGCGGAGCCGGAGGAUGUCGCUUGCUGCAGAUGGGGGGGUCGGCCGCGGCGCCAUCGAUGGAAGUUGAACGCAGCGCCGCCGCCGUCGAUGGAAGCCGAGCGCAGCGCUGCCGUUGACGGAAGCCGGGUGUAUCGUCGGAUGCCGAAUAUGCCGCGUCGCGCCGCUGCCGCCGCCGCCGCUGGGCGUAGCACUGCCUCCACCGCCGGACGCCCUAUGCCAUCGCCACCACACUACCACGUAGGCCAGGGCACAAAGCUGCCAUCCAAUGGGUUGUGGAGGAAUAUUUUUUCUGGUCAGCCUACAGAGACAAGUUCUGGCAAGGAAGCAUGUCAGUAGAUAAGAGUUGGAUGCGCAUGAGUAGGGCAACUGCAGAGUGGCAAAAAGGGUUGCAGGAAUUUUUAAAUUUUGCAUUUCAAGAUGAUAAUCCUGGGGAUAAUGCCCCCUGUCCAUGUAGAAGAUGCCUUAAUGUGGUACACAAAACACGCUCCGAAGUGCAAAGUGACUUGCUAAGGAAUGGAUUCGAUGAAAGUUACAUACAGUGGGUUUACCACGGUGAAGAUUCAGAUGAUGACAAUGUCACGGGAAGAUUCAGAAGAACGUAAGGAAAGGGAAAUGCUACGGGAGGAUAUUCUCAAAAUGAUUACUACGCAAAGCGUAGCAUCGGAACAACAGUCUGAUCUGGCAAUAGAUUGUCCAACUGAGAAUAGAGAACCACAUGACACAACAAAGAAGGCUCGAAGCAUUCAGAACAACACAGUUGUGAAAGCACUUUUUAACAGCGCUAAUUUGCAAGGAACAACAAGUACUACCCGGCAAAAUAUUUCUUCACAACAUCUUAGGAAUGUUGCUAGAAAUUUUGUACGGUCCCGAACUGAUCAGGCCAGAGGAGAAAAUGGAAGAAUGAAUGAAAGAAAUAUCUAAAUCAGCUCGGGGUUUGGUGUAGCAUCCAGGAGGAACAAUCAACUCUGUUACUGUUGAAUGGCUGGAGCAAACCACGACAAAAUCAAACAAGUGAUGGCUAGAAAAGCUAGUUUCGACAACAAUGUUACAAACUCAUUAGUUUCAGAACUUUUAGUUUUAUCAGACAACUUGUAUUUCAGCAUUUGGAAAUUUAACAUACUCAUAUUGUCAUCAUUACUUUGGGUAUCUGAAAUAUAUUAUGUCUUAUUCGCGGAAAUAUCAGACAUCAUAAUUCUUGUGCGCA
Oryza sativa Japonica Group (Japanese rice) is the source of this 1645-nucleotide non-coding RNA. The record is from RefSeq and is a predicted model, not a curated record. NCBI's taxonomy places the organism in Eukaryota, Viridiplantae, Streptophyta, Magnoliopsida, Poales, Poaceae.